This 689-nucleotide long non-coding RNA is filed under the name Homo sapiens (human). Its description in RNAcentral is "HSALNT0291963". Lineage: Eukaryota; Metazoa; Chordata; Mammalia; Primates; Hominidae. The record is from RNAcentral.
UGAAACUCAGCCUGAUUUGGGAGCCCCUGCAAUAAGUUUUUACUUUUACUUUGCACCUGAGGAAAAAGGCUCCAACCCAGGUGAAGUGACUUCCCCAAGGUCACACAGGGUAUCAGUAGCAGCAUUCCUUCUAUCUCUUUGUUCCAAAUUUUCUUUGCACUUCAGUCCAAGGCAACCCAACUGAAAAAUAUCUGAAAAAGACAAGGAUUUUUAUUAUUGUCUGCCUCUAGUAAAGAUUCCUUGGAUGAGACUAGCUGUUCCCAGCAUGCCAUUAGAUAAGACCUCUAUGGGGCAAGAGAGGAAAGCCUUCCCAGAUGCCUGGACUUCAGAUGUUUUCCUUGUUUGAUGUUGAAAGCUGAGAAUUUCCCUGGCUCAUGACCCCUGGAAACAAAUGCUGGAUUAUCUGUUGCGCUGGAUUAUCUGUGCCUGGCCCCUGCAGCUGCAUAGAGAAUUGUGUGUUGCCUGCACAGACUGAAGCUCUCCAUCCAUCCUGCGUGCAUUUUGUACUCGCCUGUGCCAGUGGGACUCGUGGGCCCAGUGGAAGUUCCUUAGAAGACCGAGGCCUUUGUCACCACCCACAAAGCAAGGGGAAGGUCUGCAACUGGCCAACACAGUGCCUGACAUCUAACGGGCCCUCAGUAAAUACUUGUGGAAUAGUCUCGCUGUAUCACUCAAGCUGGAUCUCGGCU